Molecule: ribosomal RNA, 377 nt
Filed under: Pseudocalanus elongatus
Lineage: Eukaryota; Metazoa; Arthropoda; Copepoda; Calanoida; Clausocalanidae
Description: SSU rRNA
Rfam family: Eukaryotic small subunit ribosomal RNA
Source: RNAcentral
UAGUCAUAUGCUUGUCUCAAAGAUUAAGCCAUGCAUGUCUAAGUACAAGCCUCACUAAGGUGAAACCGCGAAUGGCUCAUUAUAUCACACCUAAUCUACUGGAUAGUUAACAGUUACUUGGAUAACUGCGGUAAUUCUGGAGCUAAUACAUGCACAAAGCCCCGAACUUACGUGAGGGGCGCUUUUAUUAGAUCAAAACCAAUCGGCUUCGGCUGAACUCUUGGUGACUCUGAAUAACUUUGGGCUGAUCGCAUAGCCUAGCGCUGGCGACAUAUCCUCCGAAGGUGUGCCCUAUCAACUGUCGACUGUGGCAUAGACGCCCACAGUGGUUUUGACGGGUAACGGGGAAUCAGGGUUCGAUUCCGGAGAGGGAGCCU